AUCGUAACUCCUACGGGAGGCAGCAGUGGGGAAUAUUGCACAAUGGGCGCAAGCCUGAUGCAGCGGCGCCGCGUGGGGGAUGAAGGCCUUCGGGUUGUAAACUCCUUUCGCCAGGGACGAAGCGUUUUGUGACGGUACCUGGAGAAGAAGCACCGGCUAACUACGUGCCAGCAGCCGCGGUAAUACGAAGGGUGCAAGCGUUGUCCGGAAUUACUGGGCGUAAAGAGCUCGUAGGUGGUUUGUCACGUCGUCUGUGAAAUUCCACAGCUUAACUGUGGGCGUGCAGGCGAUACGGGCUGACUUGAGUACUGUAGGGGUAACUGGAAUUCCUGGUGUAGCGGUGAAAUGCGCAGAUAUCAGGAGGAACACCGAUGGCGAAGGCAGGUUACUGGGCAGUUACUGACGCUGAGGAGCGAAAGCAUGGGUAGCAAACAGGAUUAGAUACCCUAGUAGUCCUAGAGC
RNAcentral lists this ribosomal RNA (462 nucleotides) under uncultured bacterium. RNAcentral's name for it is "bacterial SSU rRNA". It matches the Rfam family "Bacterial small subunit ribosomal RNA", at positions 329 to 802 of the family's 1533-position model. The record is from RNAcentral.